CCUACGGGAGGCAGCAGUAGGGAAUCUUCCACAAUGGGCGAAAGCCUGAUGGAGCAACGCCGCGUGGGUGAAGAAGGUCUUCGGAUCGUAAAACCCUGUUGUUAGAGAAGAAAGUGCGUGAGAGUAACUGUUCACGUUUCGACGGUAUCUAACCAGACAGCCACGGCUAACUACGUGCCAGCAGCCGCGGUAAUACGUAGGUGGCAAGCGUUAUCCGGAUUUAUUGGGCGUAAAGGGAACGCAGGCGGGCUUUUAAGUCUGAUGUGAAAGUCUCCGGCUUAACCGGAGUAGUGCAUUGGAAACUGGGAGAUUUGAGGGCAGAAGAGGAGAGUGGAACUCCAUGUGUAGCGGUGAAAUGCGUAGAUAUAUGGAAGAACACCAGUGGCGAAAGCGGCUCUCUGGUCUGUAACUGACGCUGAGGUUCGAAAGCGUGGGUAGCAAACAGGAUUAGAUACCCUUGUAGUC
This 465-nucleotide ribosomal RNA is filed under the name uncultured bacterium. RNAcentral's name for it is "partial 16S ribosomal RNA". It matches the Rfam family "Bacterial small subunit ribosomal RNA", at positions 338 to 795 of the family's 1533-position model. The record is from RNAcentral.